GCCUUGCCCAGGACGUGUGAUCCUUGCCCAACCGUGUCCAUUGACAGGGCUCUCCCGGCAGUGGGGCGUGGAUGUUCAGUGGAGCGACCAGAUAGCUAAAGGUUCAGUGGAAUUCCUAAAUUAAACCAUAUGGGUGUGCUGUGUUUGUCAGGUCAGCAUUCUCCAGAGAAACAGAACCAAUCAACCAACCAACAGAACCAUCUCUUAUAAAUAAAGAGGUGUAUUAUAAGGAAUUGGCUCACGUGACUAUGGAGGCUGAGAAAUCCCAAGAUUCACAGUUAGCAAACUGGAGAAGCAGGAGAGUCAAUGGUGUAAGUUUCAGUUCAAAAUCCAGAAGACUCCAGACCCAUGAAGAGCUGAUCAGUUCAAGUCUGAAGGCAAGAAAAGACCAGCUCAACAGUCAGGCAGGAGGAUUCCCUACGACUAGCUGGAGGGUCUCCUUUUUAUUCUAUUCAGGCCUUCAACUGAUUGGAUGAGAGCCACCUACAGUAGAGAUGACAAUCUGCUUUACUCAGUCUAUCAAUUUAAAUGUUCAUCUUAUCCAAAAAAAUCUCUUGUAGACACACUCAGAAUAAUGUUUGACCAAAUACCUGAGCUACCUAUGGCACAGUUAACUAUAUACAUAAAAUUAAUCAUCACAGGAAUUUAAGUCAUUUAUUUUUAUUUUUUUAAUUUUUUAUUGAUGCAGAUAUUUGGGGCUAUAAAUUUUCCUCAGAUCACUGCUUUAAAUCUAUUUUUAAUUCAGAUAUGUUGUAUUCUUAUUAAAUUUUUCAGAUGUUUUCUAUUCUCUUGGUAUUUUCUUUCACUGAAGU
Long non-coding RNA from Diceros bicornis minor, 812 nucleotides. RefSeq lists it as uncharacterized. Lineage: Eukaryota; Metazoa; Chordata; Mammalia; Perissodactyla; Rhinocerotidae. The record is from RefSeq and is a predicted model, not a curated record. The transcript is spliced from 3 exons.